UACAGAGGUCGCGAGCGUUAAUCGGAUUUACUGGGCGUAAAGCGUGUGUAGGUGGUUGUGCAAGUCGGUUGUGAAAUCCCCGGGCUCAACCUGGGAACUGCUUCCGAGACUGUGCGACUAGAGAUCGGUAGAGGGCGGUGGAAUUUCCGGUGUAGCGGUGAAAUGCGUAGAUAUCGGAAGGAACACCAAUGGCGAAGGCAGCCGCCUGGGCCUGAUCUGACACUGAGAGACGAAAGCUAGGGGAGCGAAUGGG
Molecule: ribosomal RNA, 253 nt
Filed under: uncultured bacterium
Lineage: Bacteria
Description: partial 16S ribosomal RNA
Rfam family: Bacterial small subunit ribosomal RNA
Source: RNAcentral